UACGAAGGGUGCAAGCGUUACUCGGAAUUACUGGGCGUAAAGCGUGCGUAGGUGGUUUGUUAAGUCUGUUGUGAAAGCCCCGGGCUCAACCUGGGAAUGGCAAUGGAUACUGGCAGGCUAGAGUGCGGUAGAGGGUAGUGGAAUUCCCGGUGUAGCGGUGAAAUGCGUAGAGAUCGGGAGGAACACCGGUGGCGAAGGCGGGUCUCUGGGCCGAUACUGACGCUGAGGAGCGAAAGCAUGGGUAGCGAACAGG
RNAcentral lists this ribosomal RNA (253 nucleotides) under uncultured bacterium. Its description in RNAcentral is "partial 16S ribosomal RNA". It matches the Rfam family "Bacterial small subunit ribosomal RNA", at positions 524 to 776 of the family's 1533-position model. The record is from RNAcentral.